UACGGAAGGCAGCAGUGGGGAAUAUUGCACAAUGGGCGCAAGCCUGAUGCAGCCAUGCCGCGUGUAUGAAAAGGCCUUCGGGUUGUAAAGUACUUUCAGUCGUGAGGAGGUGUUAAGGUUAAUAACCUUAGCAAUUGACGUUAGCGACAGAAGAAGCACCGGCUAACUCCGUGCCAGCAGCCGCGGUAAUACGGAGGGUGCGAGCGUUAAUCGGAAUUACUGGGCGUAAAGGGCACGCAGGCGGUUAAUUAAGUUGGAUGUGAAAUCCCCGGGCUUAACCUGGGAAUGGCAUUCAAGCUGGUUAGCUAGAGUCUUGUAGAGGGGGUAGAAUUCCAUGUGUAGCGGUGAAAUGCGUAGAGAUGUGGAGGAAUACCGGUGGCGAAGGCGGCCCCUGGACAAAGACUGACGCUCAUGUGCGAAAGCGUGGGGAGCAAACAGGGAUUAGAUACC
This 450-nucleotide ribosomal RNA is filed under the name uncultured bacterium. RNAcentral describes it as "bacterial SSU rRNA". It matches the Rfam family "Bacterial small subunit ribosomal RNA", at positions 340 to 786 of the family's 1533-position model. The record is from RNAcentral.